This 494-nucleotide ribosomal RNA is filed under the name uncultured bacterium. RNAcentral describes it as "partial 16S ribosomal RNA". It matches the Rfam family "Bacterial small subunit ribosomal RNA", at positions 28 to 506 of the family's 1533-position model. The record is from RNAcentral.
GACGAACGCUGGCGGCGUGCCUAAUACAUGCAAGUAGAACGCUGAAGGAGGAGCUUGCUUCUCCGGAUGAGUUGCGAACGGGUGAGUAACGCGUAGGUAACCUGCCUGGUAGCGGGGGAUAACUAUUGGAAACGAUAGCUAAUACCGCAUAAGGGUAGAUGUCGCAUGACAUUUGCUUAAAAGGUGCAACUGCACCACUACCAGAUGGACCUGCGUUGUAUUAGCUAGUUGGUGAGGUAACGGCUCACCAAGGCAACGAUACAUAGCCGACCUGAGAGGGUGAUCGGCCACACUGGGACUGAGACACGGCCCAGACUCCUACGGGAGGCAGCAGUAGGGAAUCUUCGGCAAUGGACGGAAGUCUGACCGAGCAACGCCGCGUGAGUGAAGAAGGUUUUCGGAUCGUAAAGCUCUGUUGUAAGAGAAGAACGGGUGUGAGAGUGGAAAGUUCACACUGUGACGGUAUCUUACCAGAAAGGGACGGCUAACUACGU